This 491-nucleotide ribosomal RNA is filed under the name uncultured bacterium. RNAcentral describes it as "bacterial SSU rRNA". It matches the Rfam family "Bacterial small subunit ribosomal RNA", at positions 15 to 507 of the family's 1533-position model. The record is from RNAcentral.
GAUCCUGGCUCAGGAUGAACGCUAGCGGGAGGCCUAACACAUGCAAGCCGAGCGGUAUUGUUUCUUCGGAAAUGAGAGAGCGGCGUACGGGUGCGGAACACGUGUGCAACCUGCCUUUAUCUGGGGGAUAGCCUUUCGAAAGGAAGAUUAAUACUCCAUAAUAUAUUGAACGGCAUCGUUUAAUAUUGAAAGCUCCGGCGGAUAGAGAUGGGCACGCGCAAGAUUAGCUAGUUGGUGAGGUAACGGCUCACCAAGGCGAUGAUCUUUAGGGGCCUGAGAGGGUGAUCCCCCACACUGGUACUGAGACACGGACCAGACUCCUACGGGAGGCAGCAGUGAGGAAUAUUGGUCAAUGGGUGCAAGCCUGAACCAGCCAUCCCGCGUGAAGGACGACUGCCCUAUGGGUUGUAAACUUCUUUUGUAUAGGGAUAAACCUACCCUCGUGAGGGUAGCUGAAGGUACUAUACGAAUAAGCACCGGCUAACUCCGUG